Molecule: non-coding RNA, 29 nt
Filed under: Mus musculus (house mouse)
Lineage: Eukaryota; Metazoa; Chordata; Mammalia; Rodentia; Muridae
Source: RNAcentral
CAGUUACUCAGUACCACACCGCAAGCAGG